UGGGGGAUCGGCUAAUGGUAGGCCAGCAGAUUUUGAUUCUGCCUGUCGGGGUUCGAAUCCCUGUCCCCCAG
RNAcentral lists this transfer RNA (71 nucleotides) under candidate division WOR-1 bacterium RIFOXYA2_FULL_41_14. Its description in RNAcentral is "tRNA-Gln". It matches the Rfam family "tRNA". Rfam says of the family: Transfer RNA (tRNA) molecules are approximately 80 nucleotides in length. Their secondary structure includes four short double-helical elements and three loops (D, anti-codon, and T loops). Further hydrogen bonds mediate the characteristic L-shaped molecular structure. tRNAs have two regions of fundamental functional importance: the anti-codon, which is responsible for specific mRNA codon recognition, and the 3' end, to which the tRNAs corresponding amino acid is attached (by aminoacyl-tRNA synthetases). tRNAs cope with the degeneracy of the genetic code in two manners: having more than one tRNA (with a specific anti-codon) for a particular amino acid; and 'wobble' base-pairing, i.e. permitting non-standard base-pairing at the 3rd anti-codon position. Lineage: Bacteria; Bacillati. RNAcentral also lists the same sequence under 3 other names. The record is from RNAcentral.